Molecule: long non-coding RNA, 233 nt
Filed under: Vigna radiata
Lineage: Eukaryota; Viridiplantae; Streptophyta; Magnoliopsida; Fabales; Fabaceae
Description: long non-coding RNA (VRAD_LNC004207)
Source: RNAcentral
GUAGGUGUACCUUCCUGGUAUCCUUCAGUAGAUACCUAAAUCUUCUAGCAUCCCUUAGUAGAUGCUAUCCUAGUAGCAUUCAUUACUAAAUGCUAACAAUGACAUCCAUCAGUAGAUGUCUAUUCACCGUUUUCUUUCAUAACAACAUCCAUCAGUAAAUGUUGUAGAAGCAUCCAUCAAUAGAUGCUAUCAUCACUGCCAUCAGAAGCAACAUAUAACCUAAAAAAAACUUA